Gymnogyps californianus (California condor) is the source of this 264-nucleotide long non-coding RNA. RefSeq lists it as uncharacterized. Lineage: Eukaryota; Metazoa; Chordata; Aves; Accipitriformes; Cathartidae. The record is from RefSeq and is a predicted model, not a curated record. The transcript has 3 exons.
UCUUCACAACCGCAAAGCAGGACUACGCCGAGAAGGUUCUGGAUGUGCUGGACCCCAAGAAGAAGCUGAUCAGGCGCUGCCUCUCCCAGCGGGACUGCCUCUGCGCCCGGGGCUGCUACUGGAAGGACCUGACCCGCCUGGGCAGGGACCUGGCCAAGACGGUGGCCCUGGACCACACCAUCCAGGGCUUCCCCGCCCAGGCUGCCAACUGGAUCCCAGUGCCGAGGUGGUGGGGGGACCCACGGGAUGAAGAACUGCUGCGCC